Molecule: ribosomal RNA, 317 nt
Filed under: uncultured Hydrogenophaga sp.
Lineage: Bacteria; Pseudomonadati; Pseudomonadota; Betaproteobacteria; Burkholderiales; Comamonadaceae
Description: bacterial SSU rRNA
Rfam family: Bacterial small subunit ribosomal RNA
Source: RNAcentral
CGCUGAGUUUGAUCCUGGCUCAGAUUGAACGCUGGCGGCAUGCUUUACACGUGCAAGUCGAACGGUAACAGGCCGCAAGGUGCUGACGAGUGGCGAACGGGUGAGUAAUGCAUCGGAACGUGCCCAGUCGUGGGGAUAACGCAGCGAAAGCUGCGCUAAUACCGCAUACGAUCUGUGGAUGAAAGCGGGGGACCGUAAGGCCUCGCGCGAUUGGAGCGGCCGAUGUCAGAUUAGGUAGUUGGUGGGGUAAACGGCUCACCAAGCCAACGAUCUGUAGCUGGUCUGAGACGGACGACCAGCCACACGUGGAACUGACG